CAAAGGUUUGGUCCUGGCCUUCCUAUUAGUUAUUGACAGAAUUACACAUGCAAGCCUCCACAUCCCGGUGAAGAUGCCCUCUAAAUCUAUUAAACGAUUAUAAAGGAGCGGGCAUCAGGCACACUAAAUAAGUAGCCCAUAACGCCUUGCUCAACCACACCCCCACGGGAUACAGCAGUGAUAAAAAUUAAGCCAUGAACGAAAGUUUGACUAAGCCAUGUUAAUAUUAAGAGUUGGUAAAUUUCGUGCCAGCCACCGCGGUCAUACGAUUAACCCAAAUUAAUAGGCUCACGGCGUAAAACGUGCUAAGGAUUACAAAACACUAAAGUUAAAAUUUAACCAGGCCGUAAAAAGCUACUGUUAAUAUAAAAUAUACCACGAAAGUGACUUUAUCAUCUCCAACAACACGAUAGCUGGGACCCAAACUGGGAUUAGAUACCCCACUAUGCCCAGCCCUAAACACAAACAAUUUACACAACAAAAU
This 484-nucleotide ribosomal RNA is filed under the name Martes martes (European pine marten). RNAcentral's name for it is "partial 12S ribosomal RNA". The record is from RNAcentral. Lineage: Eukaryota; Metazoa; Chordata; Mammalia; Carnivora; Mustelidae.